AGUCUAGGUCUUGCUGUAUUGCCCAAGGCUGGAGGACAGUGAUGCAAUCAUGGCUCCCUGCAGCCUUGAUCUUCUGAGCUCAGUCCCUGCUUUGAUAACCACAGGCAGCUACGGGAAAGAGUGGGAAAAGUGAGAUAGUCCCAAGAAACAGGCAACAGCAGGGUAAGUGAAAAUCAAUCAACCUAAAGUCAAACUAAAAUUUGUGAACAUGUUUCCUUGAACUAAGUUUCUUUUUUUUCUUUUUCUUUUUUUUUUUCUGGAGAUGGAGUCUUGCUCUGUUGCCCAGGCUGGAGCUCAGUGGUGUGAUCUCAGCUCACUGCAACAUCCGCCACCCGGGUUCAAGCCAUUCUUGUGCCUCAGCCUCCUGAGUAGCUGGGAUUACAGGCACACACCACCACGCCAGGCUAAUUUUUGUAUUUUUAGUAGAGACGGGGUUUCAUCAUGUUGGCCAGACUGAUCUCGAACUCCUGACCUCA
RNAcentral lists this long non-coding RNA (476 nucleotides) under Homo sapiens (human). RNAcentral's name for it is "HSALNT0401548". The record is from RNAcentral. Lineage: Eukaryota; Metazoa; Chordata; Mammalia; Primates; Hominidae.